CAUGUGUCACAGACAGGACUUUACUGGUGUAGAGGAGGAAGAGGAGACCCAAUUUACUACACAGAGUUUAGCGAGUCACUGAAAGUGGGCACACAGGGUGACCAAGCUGUCUAUGAAUCUCUGCCCCACAACAAAAACAUUGAAAUUGGGGAAGCAGCAGAUGAUGACUCUGCUCUUGCAUCUUGUGAUCAGGUGAUCUAACACGAAAC
Long non-coding RNA from Girardinichthys multiradiatus, 209 nucleotides. RefSeq lists it as uncharacterized. NCBI's taxonomy places the organism in Eukaryota, Metazoa, Chordata, Actinopteri, Cyprinodontiformes, Goodeidae. The record is from RefSeq and is a predicted model, not a curated record. The transcript is spliced from 3 exons.